Molecule: ribosomal RNA, 599 nt
Filed under: uncultured bacterium
Lineage: Bacteria
Description: bacterial SSU rRNA
Rfam family: Bacterial small subunit ribosomal RNA
Source: RNAcentral
AGUCGAACGGCAGCGGGGGCUUCGGCCUGCCGGCGAGUGGCGAACGGGUGAGUAAUGCAUCGGAACGUGCCCAGUCAUGGGGGAUAACUACGCGAAAGCGUAGCUAAUACCGCAUACGCCCUGAGGGGGAAAGCGGGGGAUCGCAAGACCUCGCGUGAUUGGAGCGGCCGAUGUCGGAUUAGCUAGUUGGUGGGGUAAAGGCCUACCAAGGCGACGAUCCGUAGCGGGUCUGAGAGGAUGAUCCGCCACACUGGGACUGAGACACGGCCCAGACUCUUACGGGAGGCAGCAGUGGGGAAUAUUGGACAAUGGGCGCAAGCCUGAUCCAGCCAUGCCGCGUGAGUGAUGAAGGCCUUAGGGUUGUAAAGCUCUUUCACCGAUGAAGAUAAUGACGGUAGUCGGAGAAGAAGCCCCGGCUAACUUCGUGCCAGCAGCCGCGGUAAUACGAAGGGGGCUAGCGUUGUUCGGAAUUACUGGGCGUAAAGCGCAUGUAGGCGGACAUUUAAGUCAGGGGUGAAAUCCCGGGGCUCAACCUCGGAACUGCCUUUGAUACUGGGUGUCUAGAGUGUGGAAGAGGUAAGUGGAAUUCCGAGUGUAGA